RNAcentral lists this ribosomal RNA (301 nucleotides) under uncultured bacterium. RNAcentral's name for it is "partial 16S ribosomal RNA". It matches the Rfam family "Bacterial small subunit ribosomal RNA", at positions 509 to 807 of the family's 1533-position model. The record is from RNAcentral.
CAGUAGCCGCGGUAAAACGUAGGGUGCGAGCGUUAAUCGGAAUUACUGGGCGUAAAGCGUGCGCAGGCGGUUAUGCAAGACAGAUGUGAAAUCCCCGGGCUCAACCUGGGAACUGCAUUUGUGACUGCAUGACUAGAGUACGGCAGAGGGGGAUGGAAUUCCGCGUGUAGCAGUGAAAUGCGUAGAUAUGCGGAGGAACACCGAUGGCGAAGGCAAUCCCCUGGGCCUGUACUGACGCUCAUGCACGAAAGCGUGGGGAGCAAACAGGAUUAGAGACCCCCGUAGUCCCUGUCUCUUAUAC